UGAGUAACACGUGGGAAAUCUGCCUAAGAGUGGGGGAUAACAUUCGGAAACGGAUGCUAAUACCGCAUAUAUUCUUGAACCGCAUGGUUCUGGAAAGAAAGACGGCUUUGCUGUCGCUUUUAGAUGAUCCCGCGGCGUAUUAGUUAGUUGGUGGGGUAACGGCCUACCAAGACCAUGAUACGUAGCCGACCUGAGAGGGUGAUCGGCCACACUGGGACUGAGACACGGCCCAGACUCCUACGGGAGGCAGCAGUAGGGAAUCUUCCACAAUGGGUGCAAACCUGAUGGAGCAAUGCCGCGUGAAUGAAGAAGGUCUUCGGAUCGUAAAGUUCUGUUAUUAGAGAAGAACAAGUCGAGGAGUAACUGUCUCGACUUUGACGGUACCUAACCAGAAAGUCACGGCUAACUACGUGCCAGCAGCCGCGGUAAUACGUAGGUGACAAGCGUUGUCCGGAAUUAUUGGGCGUAAAGGGAGCGCAGGCGGUUGGAAUAGUCUGAUGUGAA
RNAcentral lists this ribosomal RNA (504 nucleotides) under uncultured bacterium. Its description in RNAcentral is "bacterial SSU rRNA". It matches the Rfam family "Bacterial small subunit ribosomal RNA", at positions 107 to 598 of the family's 1533-position model. The record is from RNAcentral.